UACGUAGGGAGCAAGCGUUGUCCGGAAUCAUUGGGCGUAAAGCGCGCGUAGGUGGCUUCGUAAGUCCGUUGUGAAAGUCAAAGGCUCAACCUUUGAAAGCCGAUGGAUACUGUGGAGCUAGAGUACGGAAGAGGCGAGUGGAAUUCCUGGUGUAGCGGUGGAAUGCGCAGAUAUCAGGAGGAACACCAAUAGCGAAGGCAGCUCGCUGGGACGUUACUGACACUGAGGCGCGAAAGCGUGGGGAGCGAACAGG
RNAcentral lists this ribosomal RNA (253 nucleotides) under uncultured bacterium. RNAcentral's name for it is "partial 16S ribosomal RNA". It matches the Rfam family "Bacterial small subunit ribosomal RNA", at positions 524 to 776 of the family's 1533-position model. The record is from RNAcentral.